GUGGAGCAAUCCAUGAGUAAAGUGGCGCACGGGUGAGUAACACGUGACUAACCUACCCUCGAGUGGGGAAUAACCUCGGGAAACCGGGGCUAAUACCGCAUAACAUCUACGGAUCAAAUGCGUAAGCAGCUUGGGGAGGGGGUCGCGGCUGAUUAGCUAGUUGGCGGGGUAAUGGCCCACCAAGGCAGUGAUCAGUAGCCGGCCUGAGAGGGCGCACGGCCACACUGGAACUGAAACACGGUCCAGACUCCUACGGGAGGCAGCAGUGGGGAAUUUUGCGCAAUGGGGGAAACCCUGACGCAGCAACGCCGCGUGGAGGAUGACGCCCCUUGGGGUGUAAACUCCUUUCGAUCGGGACGAUUAUGACGGUACCGGAUGAAGAAGCACCGGCUAACUCUGUGCCAGCAGCCGCGGUAAUACAGAGGGUGCAAGCGUUGUUCGGAAUUAUUGGGCGUAAAGGGUGCGUAGGCGGUGCGGUAAGUCUUCUGUGAAAUCUCCGGGCUCAACUCGGAGCCUGCAGAGGAAACUGCCGUGCUGGAGUAUGGGAGAGGUGAGUGGAAUUCCCGGUGUAGCGGUGAAAUGCGUAGAUAUCGGGAGGAA
RNAcentral lists this ribosomal RNA (600 nucleotides) under uncultured bacterium. Its description in RNAcentral is "bacterial SSU rRNA". It matches the Rfam family "Bacterial small subunit ribosomal RNA", at positions 74 to 706 of the family's 1533-position model. The record is from RNAcentral.